RNAcentral lists this ribosomal RNA (302 nucleotides) under Salmonella enterica subsp. enterica serovar Leeuwarden. RNAcentral's name for it is "partial 23S ribosomal RNA". It matches the Rfam family "Bacterial large subunit ribosomal RNA", at positions 361 to 668 of the family's 2925-position model. The record is from RNAcentral. Lineage: Bacteria; Pseudomonadati; Pseudomonadota; Gammaproteobacteria; Enterobacterales; Enterobacteriaceae.
AGGGUGACAGCCCCGUACACAAAAGCGCAUGUGCUGUGAGCUCGAUGAGUAGGGCGGGACACGUGGUAUCCUGUCUGAAUAUGGGGGGACCAUCCUCCAAGGCUAAAUACUCCUGACUGACCGAUAGUGAACCAGUACCGUGAGGGAAAGGCGAAAAGAACCCCGGCGAGGGGAGUGAAAAAGAACCUGAAACCGUGUACGUACAAGCAGUGGGAGCACCCUUUGGGGUGUGACUGCGUACCUUUUGUAUAAUGGGUCAGCGACUUAUAUUCUGUAGCAAGGUUAACCGUAUAGGGGAGCCG